CUCAGACGAACGCUGGCGGCGUGCUUAGCACAUGCAAGUGGAGCGACGAACCAGGCUUCGGCCUGGGGCAAAGCCGCGAACGGGUGAGUAACACGUGGGUAACCUGCCCCGAAGACCGGGACAACCCGGGGAAACCCGGGCUAAUACCGGAUGUGGUCACCGUCUAUAAGGACGGUGAGCAAAGGGAGCUUCGGCCCCCGCUUCGGGAUGGGCCCGCGGCCUAUUAGCUUGUUGGUGGGGUAACGGCUCACCAAGGCGACGAUAGGUAGCUGGUCUGAGAGGACGAUCAGCCACACUGGGACUGAGACACGGCCCAGACUCCUACGGGAGGCAGCAGUGGGGAAUCUUGCGCAAUGCGCGAAAGCGUGACGCAGCAACGCCGCGUGGGGGAAGAAGGCCUUCGGGUUGUAAACCCUUUUCGGGGGGGACGAAGCUUCGGCUGUGAAUAGCAGUCCGGAGUGACGGUA
This 467-nucleotide ribosomal RNA is filed under the name uncultured bacterium. Its description in RNAcentral is "bacterial SSU rRNA". It matches the Rfam family "Bacterial small subunit ribosomal RNA", at positions 23 to 477 of the family's 1533-position model. The record is from RNAcentral.